AUGGGGUGACUGCGUACCUUUUGUAUAAUGGGUCAGCGACUUAUAUUCUGUAGCAAGGUUAACCGUAUAGGGGAGCCGUAGGGAAACCGAGUCUUAACUGGGCGAAUGAGUUGCAGGGUAUAGACCCGAAACCCGGUGAUCUAUCCAUGGGCAGGUUGAAGGUUGGGUAACACUAACUGGAGGACCGAACCGACUAAUGUUGAAAAAUUAGCGGAUGACUUGUGGAUGGGGGUGAAAGGCCAAUCAAACCGGGAGAUAGCUGGUUCUCCCCGAAAGCUAUUUAGGUAGCGCCUCGUGAAUUCAUCUUCGGGGGUAGAGCACUGUUUCGACUAGGGGGUCAUCCCGACUUACCAACUCGAUGCAAACUGCGAAUACCGAAGAAUGUUAUCACGGGAGACACACGGCGGGUGCUAACGUCCGUCGUGAAGAGGGAAACAACCCAGACCGCCAGCUAAGGUCCCAAAGUCAUGGUUAAGUGGGAAACGAAGUGGGAAGGCUCAGACAGCCAGGAUGUUGGCUUAGAAGCAGCCAUCAUUUAAAGAAAGCGUAAUAGCUCACUGGUCGAGUCGGCCCGCGCGGAAGAUGUAACGGGGCUAAACCAUGCACCGAAGCUGCGGCAGCGACACUAAGUGUUGUUGGGUAGGGGAGCGUUCUGUAAGCCUGCGAAGGUGUACUGUGAGGUAUGCUGGAGGUAUCAGAAGUGCGAAUGCUGACAUAAGUAACGAUAAUGCGGGUGAAAAACCCGCACGCCGGAAGACCAAGGGUUCCUGUCCAACGUUAAUCGGGGCAGGGUGAGUCGACCCCUAAGGCGAGGCUGAAAAGCGUAGUCGAUGGGAAACGGGUUAAUAUUCCCGUACUGGUGGUAACUGCGAUGGGGGAACGGAGAAGGCUAGGUUGUCCGGGCGACGGUCGUCCCGGUUCAAGCAUGUAGGCAGAGUGAUUAGGCAAAUCCGGUCACUUAAUGCUGAGGUGUGAUGACGAACCACUAAGGUGGUGAAGCAAUUGAUGCCCUGCUUCCAGGAAAAGCCUCUAAGCUUCAGGUUACCAACAAUCGUACCCCAAACCGACACAGGUGGUCAGGUAGAGAAUACUCAGGCGCUUGAGAGAACUCGGGUGAAGGAACUAGGCAAAAUGGUGCCGUAACUUCGGGAGAAGGCACGCUGGCGGUAAGUGAAGUCCCUCGCGGACGGAGCCGAAGCCAGUCGAAGAUACCAGCUGGCUGCAACUGUUUAUUAAAAACACAGCACUGUGCAAACACGAAAGUGGACGUAUACGGUGUGACGCCUGCCCGGUGCUGGAAGGUUAAUUGAUGGGGUUAUCCUUAGGGAGAAGCUCUUGAUCGAAGCCCCAGUAAACGGCGGCCGUAACUAUAACGGUCCUAAGGUAGCGAAAUUCCUUGUCGGGUAAGUUCCGACCUGCACGAAUGGCGUAAUGAUGGCCAGGCUGUCUCCACCCGAGACUCAGUGAAAUUGAACUCGCUGUGAAGAUGCAGUGUACCCGCGGCAAGACGGAAAGACCCCGUGAACCUUUACUAUAGCUUGACACUGAACAUUGAGCCUUGAUGUGUAGGAUAGGUGGGAGACUAUGAAAUGUGGACGCCAGUCUGCAUGGAGUCAACCUUGAAAUACCACCCUUUAACGUUUGAUGUUCUAACCUAGGUCCAUAAUCUGGAUCGGGGACCGUGUCUGGUGGGUAGUUUGACUGGGGCGGUCUCCUCCUAAAGAGUAACGGAGGAGCACGAAGGUUGGCUAAGCAUGGUCGGACAUCAUGCGGUUAGUGCAAAGGCAUAAGCCAGCUUGACUGUGAGAGUGACGGCUCGAGCAGGUACGAAAGUAGGUCUUAGUGAUCCGGUGGUUCUGAAUGGAAGGGCCAUCGCUCAACGGAUAAAAGGUACUCCGGGGAUAACAGGCUGAUACCGCCCAAGAGUUCAUAUCGACGGCGGUGUUUGGCACCUCGAUGUCGGCUCAUCACAUCCUGGGGCUGAAGUAGGUCCCAAGGGUAUGGCUGUUCGCCAUUUAAAGUGGUACGCGAGCUGGGUUUAGAACGUCGUGAGACAGUUCGGUCCCUAUCUGCCGUGGGCGUUGGAAGAUUGAGAGGGGUUGCUCCUAGUACGAGAGGACCGGAGUGAACGCACCACUGGUGUUCGGGUUGUCAUGCCAAUGGCAUUGCCCGGUAGCUAAGUGCGGAAGAGAUAACCGCUGAAAGCAUCUAAGCGGGAAACUUGCCUCGAGAUGAGUCUUCCCUGUCACCUAGAGUGACCUAAAGGAACGUUUAAGACUAAGACGUUGAUAGGCUGGGUGUGUAAGCGUAGCGAUACGUUGAGCUAACCAGUACUAAUGAACCGUGAGGCUUAACCUG
This 2358-nucleotide ribosomal RNA is filed under the name Proteus hauseri. Its description in RNAcentral is "partial 23S ribosomal RNA". It matches the Rfam family "Bacterial large subunit ribosomal RNA", at positions 588 to 2925 of the family's 2925-position model. Lineage: Bacteria; Pseudomonadati; Pseudomonadota; Gammaproteobacteria; Enterobacterales; Morganellaceae. The record is from RNAcentral.